Molecule: ribosomal RNA, 301 nt
Filed under: uncultured bacterium
Lineage: Bacteria
Description: partial 16S ribosomal RNA
Rfam family: Bacterial small subunit ribosomal RNA
Source: RNAcentral
CAGUAGCCAGGUAAUACGAAGGGGGCUAGCGUUGUUCGGAUUUACCGGGCGUAAAGGGCGCGUAGGCGGACUGAUAAGUCAGGGGUGAAAUCCCAAGGCUCAACCUUGGAACUGCCUUUGAUACUGUUUGUCUUGAGUUCGAGAGAGGUAAGUGGAACUGCGAGUGUAGAGGUGAAAUUCGUAGAUAUUCGCAAGAACACCAGUGGCGAAGGCGGCUUACUGGCUCGAAACUGACGCUGAGGCGCGAAAGCGUGGGGAGCAAACAGGAUUAGAUACCCCAGUAGUCCCUGUCUCUUAUACA